RNAcentral lists this long non-coding RNA (16426 nucleotides) under Capsicum annuum. RNAcentral's name for it is "long non-coding RNA (CANN_LNC021405)". Lineage: Eukaryota; Viridiplantae; Streptophyta; Magnoliopsida; Solanales; Solanaceae. The record is from RNAcentral.
GAAACUACUCCAUUUUUUUUGUCCUUUUCAUUUCUUCUUCAGGCACACACACAGAUCUGAGAGAAAAAAAUUUCUUCACUUCUUGACAUAGAUCUCACACUCACAGGGAAAGCGGGGAGGGGGGGGGGGGUUAUUCACUGAAAUUCCAGGAGAAAAAGGAUCACUCAGAUAAAACCUCUCCAGUUUUGUUUGAUAAAACUCCAUACACACAAUCCUUCUUCUCUUCCACACGAAAAUCUCGCACACACUCACGCACUCUCACGAAACACAUAGGUCGUCACUUUUUCCAUAAGCACACACACAGGUAUCCCACUAACACUCACAUACUACACAGAUAUAAAGAAAAAAGUUAGGGAAAUCAGUCGAUAGGUGAGGUUCGAGCUAUUUUGGAGUUCACCGUUCGAUUGACCCUGCCCCAAAAACUCAUCAGACUCACUUGAUUCGACUCAAUUUUGUGUAGUUUUGUGCGGGUUGUGGAGGUUAGUUGUGAAUGGUGUUGUAGGACGCUGCUGUUUUGUCUUGGUUUAGGGGUUUAGGUUCGGUGCGUCUCAAUUGGGUCACCAUAAUCAGUUUCAGGCAUCGACUGCUGGUACCGAGUUGGACCACGUUGCUGUUGAGGUUUUCUAUCGAGGAUUCUAAAUUCGGGGCUUCUUUAAUAUUAGUAUCAAUCGAAAUUAAUUAUCAGAAGGUGCAUUUCUUUAACCAAUUCUCUCUUCUUUAUCGUAAUUUGCUAAAUUGAUUAUGUUUGAGAUUGGAUGAUUUGGUGAAUGUUUGAUAUCACAAAUGUGAAAUUUGUAUAGUUACCAUGCUUUAAUUGUCGUUAUAUCUAUGUUGUUUAUAUUGGAUUCCAAGUUGGAAAUUGAUUUGAUAAUAGAAGCAUGUGUUAAUUGUGGGUUGAAAAGAGAAUUUGGAGUGGAAUUUAAAAAGUGAUAAAAAGAAUGAUUUUAGAUUAACUUGUUUUUUUUUUUUUUGGUUAAUUCGGAAUGAGUAUGAAUAUUGUAGGAAUGUAAUAGUAUCGUGAUAUGUUGAAAUAGAUAGGCAUUAUAGGUUCAGGUAGGCUAAUUUAGGAGUGACGUGUUGAUUGAAUGCUUUGAAUGUUUAAAUGUGUGUUUUGAAUGUUUUUCUAGUUAUGUUAUUUAAUUCAGAUUUAUUCAUUUGGCCAGGGAAUGCCCCGAGGUAUUUGUGUUUAUUUGCCGGGAAUGCCCCAAAGUAUUUUAUACCGGGAGGACAUUCGUGACAAUUUUUUUUAUAUUUUGUUUGUAUUUGUUUUAUUAUUACUGAGUGUCUACGUUCUAUGUGUUUAAAGUCUUUCUUUAUCUGUUACCGCUUUAUAUCUGACAUCAUUUGCAUAACCUGAGUCAAUUCUUUCUGCCACAAGUCUCGGAGUGCACGUCGUGUACACGAACUCUAGUUGAGUCACCCUUAUUUUAGGAGGGGGAACCGUCGGACGUAUGGAGUGGGUAGAAAGCUGUCGCAACCACUAUCGAGCAUACGCUCCCCCGAACAGCCUUGUUAGUGAACCCCAGCGUAGGUCAGCCUUUAGGUCAUACUUAUCUGCACCGUAUUGAGACCUAGAGGGGCUUAUUUGGUCAUUUGUAGGAGACUCACCUCUAAAGCAUCCCUUUGUGCUAAAUGUUACAUCUUUGAGGGUAACGUGGUCAUUUGACCGACUGAUUUGGGAAAAGCAUGUGUUAAAAGUAAGGUGUGUUUGAAAAAAAAAAGAGAGAAAAAAAGAAGUGAGUCAAAAAGGAUUUCGUAGCUUUUAGUGUUCUUUAUGACUUUUGUUUUUCCCAAUUCAAAAUUUUUAAAAGAUUUUUUACCUUUUGCACUGAUUUUAUCAAAAACAAAAACAUCAAAAAAAUUUUCUUUAUUUCUUUAGUAAGCUUCCAUAAUUUGAAAAUUUCAAAAAAGAAAAAAAGAUUUCUUUUAAUAGGAGUUUUAUAAAAGAAAAUUCAAAAUGGUAGAAGUUUUAUACAUUUCAUAUAGCGAAAGUAUCUCAAAAAAGAUUUUUCUUUCUUAUUUGUGGGUGUCAUGUGUCAAAUUAAAAACCCCAAAAAGAUUUUAUUUACAUUCUUUACUCGUUUGUAUUUAGUCAUGUCUCAAGUCAAGGUUUUGUUUGUUCUUUAAUACUAAUUUGUCCAAUCUGGAUAAACUACACAUUCCUGAUUCUCCUCUCUUGGGAAUGAGAUACGUCGGCUGCCUAUUGUUGGUUCGGAAAUCUUAUUUGAAAAUCAAAAAAUAUUUUCUUUAGAGUAGGUGUUUCACAUAUGCCUCGAAAACAAAACUAUAAAAAGAUUUUCAUUAAUAGUUGUAGGUUUCAUUUUUGGUUGAUUUUAUUUAAAAAAUCAAAAAAAGAUUUUCUUCUCCUCAUUUAGAGUAGCUGUUUUAUAUAUACCUUGAAAAGAAAAAAAUACACAAAGAUUUUCCUUAAUAAUCGUAGGUUUUAUUUUUGGUGGAUCUUAUUUGAAAAAUCCAAAAAGAUUUUCUUUACUCUUCAUUUAGAGUAGGUGUUUAUUUACAUCUUUAAAAAAACUAUAAAAAAAAGUUUUUUUUAGUAGUUUCAAGUUUCAUUUUUGUAUGAAAUUCAGAAUCGAAAACCUAAAAAAUAUUUUUCUGUUGUAAUCAUAGGUUUCAUUUUGUAUAAAGAUUUAAACCUGAAAAAUACAAAAAAAAAUUCGUCGAUUCUUUGGACAAUUUUAUUUUCUUUUCUUAUUAAAGUUUUGAGAAAAAGAAAGAAAAAAAAGUUUAAUAGGACAUUUUGGCAAGAUUUCACGAACUACGCACACCUGAUUCUUCUCUUUCGGGGGUGAGAUACGUAGGCGCCCUUUUAGGGUUUGAUGACUUUUUCAAAAAAAAAAAAGAAAGUGUUGAAUUCUAACGCAUUUGCUAUCUCUUGUCCAGUUAGUUUAUGGUGGUUGGUUUGUGACAGUUUGGCUGGUCCUCCAUAUUGUUCCAAGUCACAGAGAAAGUUAUGGCUAACAAGGAUACCGAGUUAGUUUCCACUAAUCAAAUAGGGAGUUCGGGGAAUGAGAAUGUAGGAGCUAAUGAAGAGAUUCGAAAAUUAAGGCAGCAAAUAAUAGAAAUGCAUCGAGCUUGGGCUAAUGGGUUGCCGCCUCCUCCCUUUCCCGCUGAUAAUCUGGAAUAUCUUUCUAGUUUGCCUCCAGUGUCACAUGAACAAUUUCCUAUGUUGGUCGACACGCCACAACAUGCAUCAGGACCUACUCUGGGCAACAAUAUCCAAACACUUUCAAUAUUCAUUUAUUUACUCCUCAACACAAAGCUACCACAUGCUUGGCUCCACCCACUCUUCAUGCUUUUGCAGCCCCAGUCCAGUCUGAAGCUCCUGAUUUUAAUGUCAAUCCAACGGUUGUAAUUCCUCACUUUACAAGCGACCCUGUAUUGAAUAUUUUUAGUGAUCAACAUUAAGCUCCCGAGCCCACAUUUAAGUCGACUGGUCCUUACAACUGCACUCAACCGCCUGAAUUUCCUCCUAACACUGAAAAUAGAUUAAUUUUAAAUAUUAAAAGACGCUCCUUACAUGGUGUUUCUUGUCAUACGCUUGAAGAUUUAUUUAUAAUUUCUACAUUUUAUUACUCAUUACAUGCAUAAAUUCAUAGAAUUUUAAUAGUUCUAAUGGAUCUGUAAAAUUUAACAAGAGACACCAUUAGAAUAUAGAUGUACCUAUUUUGGCCUUUGUUAGCAUCUUAUUUUCGUUUGUGUCAUUUGACUCUUUGUAUAAUUUUCGUUUCAUCAAUAAAAACCAAAAAGUCAUUGAAAAAAAAAAGAAUAUAUAUGAACCUAUAAGCUUAUUUCCACUAAUCUCAACAUGUUGCAUCUUGGUUAAGUUGCCAAUCUCUCGAGGUAAGAAUCCACUAAGAUUGUUCCUCCACAGUGACAAAAGUUGCAGCGAUGAGAUAUUGAAUAUGGAGAUCGGGACAGAGCCAGUAAUUUGAUUAUCCUCCAUGACUAACUCUACCAAAUUAAAAAGAUUUCCAAUUUCUUGUGGAAUUAUCCCUGAAAUGAAUGUAUAAAAAAAUGAAAUUCUGAAGUAAUAAGAUACAAUAGUGCUAGUAUCCAUAAUAUGGAACGUACCAGUGAAAUGGUUAGUUCUGAGAUCCAAUAUCUGCAGGUUACUCUAUCUUCCUUUUUUCCUAUGUAUUGAUCCAUCAAACUCAUUUUCCGAUUAACCCAACAGUUGAAGUUGUGAACAAUUUGAUAAGCUUGUAGGCAUAUGACCGCGAAGCUUGUUUUUGUAGACAUAAAGCCCUUUGAGUAUUGGGAGACCAUUGCAUAAACCAUUGGGAAGAAUUCCUGAUAAGGUAUUGCCACUAAAUGAAAUGAAUUCGAUCCUAGAAAUAUUGAAAAUUGUAAAUGGUAUAGAACCCAUAAUUUGAUUAAAUUCUAUGCCCAACCAGUUCAUGUUGUGAAGAUUGCCGAUCCAUUGUGGAAUGUUUCCUUGAAGUGAAUUAUAGAUAAUUUAACUAGUGUCAGCUAUAGAUUCACAGGGAUUUAUAUCGUUUGAUACGGAGUAUAGAUAUAUAUAUGGAAAAAUCUAUUUAAAUAUCAACGACUAUUAUUAGGUUUGAACCCGUAAUUUUGAUAUUACAAUGAAUUUAAUAUUGAAAAUCAUAGAAGUUGAACCCGUGAUUUUAAAGGAUUUCUCGGAGUAAACCCUGGCCUAGUUUGUUAUUAGUCAUGUGCAUGCCCUGAAGGUCUCUUAAGUUGCCAAUUGAUGUGGGGAUCGAUAGAUCCAAUUAAGUUGUUUUCAUUGAGAUAAUGACAUGUUAAGCUGGUUACUGUAACAAUUACAACGUAUAUGACAAGUAGGAACCAUGUGAGAAUAAAACAUCUUUGAUGCAGUGGUGGCAAUUUGACGGAACUCAUUGGGCGUAUCUUGCUCAUGAUGUUCAAACUAUGAUUAUAACUAACAACUAUUCCAAAACAGUAUAACUAAUUGCAGUUCUCUAAUAUGAAUUAGCAUACCCCCACCCCCACCCCGUCAAGCUGGAAAUUGGUAGACAUCUAGCAAUUCCCCAGCCUUUGGUGAGCAAAUCUGCAAUUUGGGAAUGUCUUUGCAAAUAUUGAGGUUGAAUCAGAUGUUGUUUGAUUUUCUCCCCAACAAACUGGGAAUCUAUGUCGAUAUGUCUUAGUCCUCGUGUGAAAAAUAGGAUAGAGGCUAUCUGUAUAGCAGCCAUUUUAUCACAGUAUAAUCUCACUGGAGUAUGAACUGGUACUCCUAAUUGUUGCAACAGACAAACCCCUAUCGAGGGCAGAGAAUGUGAAUGGAGGAGUUGUGAAGGUGGCAACGACAGCAGUGUAAGUAAACAAAGGAGUUGUGAAGGCGAAGGACAAAGCGAAGAGAUUUGCAAAGCAAGUGCAUUACCGAGGAGUACGAAAGUCCAUUGGGGGAAUACACGCAGCGACAAGAGAUACUAGAAAAAGAUGCAAUUUCUUGUUAGGUACAUUUGACACAGUAGAGGUGGUAACAAUGUCACGACACGAACUAGGGCCUGGCCGUGACGGACAUCCCGAACCCUGAGGGCCCGGAACGUCCCUCUCUAUCUGGUAAGCAUGCACACAUUCAUAUAAAUAAAGAAGAUGCGGAAACAUAAUCUUCUACAGAAACAUGGUCAAUUUUGAAUUUAGCAUAAGAAUGAAAAUUGAAAAUCAACUACAUCUAAUAACAUCUGACUCAGUCUGGGAAAUCUCUACUACAUAAAAAUCUGACAACUGUCUGAAAAUUGAGACAAGGCCCCCAGCAGACCAAAACGAUAAUAAGGGACAUAAUCUGAAAGACGGGCCUUCUGGAAUAGAAAAGGCUCACCAACUAAUCACUUCAACUCUGUCUAACGAAUAUACUGCCUUUUUGGUCUAAGCCUCAGAACCUGGAGGGAAGGGGGGGGGGUAAACCGGGGGGGGGGGGGGGGGGGGGGAGGGGGAGUCAAUAUAGAUGUACUGGUAUGCAAAGUAAUCCAAAAUAAAGCUUAUAUGUAAAUAAAAUAGUUUGGAAAACAACUUUGUCAAAACAUUAUACAUCAAGUGGCUUUCGAAAUACAAGGGCGCAUUUCUAAAAAACAUGCAACCUGCCUGUCAAUGCAAGUUCUAAUCUGUAUAUUACUUCUGAGUUAGGUGGCACUCCCCUACAAUACUGAUAUUCCACGGGCGGUAUGGAAUCUGCCAUUGACUCGGUGGGGAAGCACCUAACCCAAGUGUGCCGCAAGGGUUAGAGUUCCUGAAUCAUAUUCGCCACAGGGCUCUAGGCCAGCGUAAUAAAUAAACCCGGAUCGGCAAAUUACGAUUUUGGGCGAUGAGUUGUUUGAUACUCACGCCUUCUUCGGGGAACCACCUAAACUCUCUUUAUUCCUAAUUUUAUCCUGUUCUAAAUCAUGCAUGUUUCUAGUUUCAACAUCUAAAAAGUCUGAUUUCAAACAUACAUUAAAUCUGUUCUCAAUUAUCAUGGCAUAAUCUGAAUUGGUAUCGUCACACCAAGACUUGAAAGUCCUAUUUCUGAGCCAUAAUGCAUCAUGCAUAAUUCUUUCAUUAAAAAACAGUUCAGACCACCUAAACAUGCAAACAAUAUAAAAGAUUUCAUUUUUCGAGAACACAAGUCAAAACUAUGCUGAGAUUGUUCAGAACAUAUGUUGGUCAUGUGCUUUUGGAGAAAUCAUGCACUCUUUCAUUAUAUGAAUAUUUUCAACAUUUAUCAAUAUGCACAACCCUCUCUUUCGAAUUCAAAAUCAUAAAUCAAUUUGUAGCAUAAAUCAAGAUAUUUCAUAUCAUGCUUUUCAAGAUACAUUCAAAACAAUCCAUAUCAUAAGAAAAUUGGGAAAAUCAUACCAAGAGAGGGAUUCAUGUGUGUCGUUCUCAAUUAAUUCAUAAAUCAUAAAAUAUAUACAUACUUAUAUAUAAUUUCAAAUCAAUUUGGGGAAGGUCAAAAGACCAAAAAAAUACCUUCAAGAUUUCUAAAAUAUGAAUGUAUUCAUAAAUCUGAAAACUCCUUUCUUAAAUCAUGAUUUCUAUGCCCAUGAGAUUUUUAGGAAAACCCCGCAUACCUCAAAAUAGGAAAACAAUGGGUGUUUCUUGAAGCCUAUGAUCCGGGGAUUUCGAAUCUUCAAUCGAUUUUGAAAACCCACGGUUGAAUCUUGAGUUUCUUGAAGUUCUUGUUUGAAGCUCUAAAGAGGAUUCUUGAUAAUUUUGAUGAAAGUAGGGUUAAGUUGCUCAAACAUAACCUAAAUCCUUUGUUUGGACGGUUUUAAAGAUUAGGGAAAAAUCAAAAUUACCCUUAAUGACUCCUAAACAGAACUGGAAAUUUGAACUUAAAACCCGAUUUCGGGUGCCACCGCAAUGCGCCACAAUCACGGUGGUCCAAUAGAAUUCGACGAGUGGGAAAUUGAGUGCCUCCGCGAUGCGCCACCAUCGCAGAGCCUCACUGGAAUUUGAUGAUUGUCAAUUUGACCUUCUCUGCGAUGUGCUAGAUACCAAAAUGACGAUGUUUACGACUGGAACUUUAAAUUAUUCAUAACUUCUUCACCGAGGGUCCGUUUUGGACGAAUCUUAUAUCGUUGAAAAGCUAAUUAGGUCUUCCACAUAAAGAAAGGUUGAAAUCUAGGAAAUUCUACAUAAAAAUUAAUUUAGAUCAUUCUAAAAGCUAAUGGUUAGACUUUCCAUAGACAGAAUUUAGCUAAAAAGACGUCAGGGUGUUACAAUAUCCCCCCCUUGGGAUUAUUCGUCCUCGAAUAAUGAUGCGGAAAACAGAAAAGCAUGAUUCCAAGCAUACUAAAGCAUAGAAAGAUUAAGGUGAGGGUUGUACCUUGAAAUCUAUCAUCUACUGGGUCAAAAAGGUGUGGGUAUCUUGCUCUCAUGUCAUCCUCUGAUUCCCUAGUGGCUUCUUCAACUAUCUGAUUUCUCCUCAACACCUUAAUUGAAACUAUUUCUUUACUUCUCAACUUACGAACCUAACGAUCUAGGAUUGGAAUAGGUUCCUCUUCAUAUGAUAAGGAGGCUUUCACCUUGAUCUCUUCUACAGGAAACACCAAAGAAUGGUCUCCAAUGCAUUUCUUCAACAUGGAUAUGUGAUAGACUAGAUGGACAGAACCCAAACUGGAAGGCAAUUCUAAAUCAUAUACAACACCACAUAUUCUCCUCAAAAUCUAAUAUGGUCUUAUAUAGCGAGGACUCAAUUUGUCUUUCUUCCUGGAUCGCAUGACUCCCUUAAUAGGAGAAACUUUUACAAAUACCCAAUCACCGACCUCAAACUCUAAAUCUUUUAUCCUAACAUCAGCAUAAGAUUUCUGAUAACUCUGAGCCGUCUUAAGUCGUUCUCUGAUGACUUUCAUAUCCUGCAUUGCCUGAUAAACAAGAUCGGGCCCAAACAUUUGCAUCUCACCUACUUCAUACCAUCCUAUAGGAGACCUAUAUCUUCUCCCAUACAGUGCUUCAAAUGGUGCCAUCUUAAUACUAGAAUGGAAACUAUUAUUAUAUGCGAACUCUAUCAAGGGUAAGUGCUCUACCCAACUACCUUUAAAAUAAAUCACACAGGCCCUCAACAUGUCCUCAAGGGUCUAAAUGGUGGGUUCGGCCUGCCCAUUAGUUUGAGGGUGAAAACCAGUGCUUAGGUUCACUUGGGUACGUAAUCCUUUCUGGAAAGAUCUCCAAAACUGAGAAGAGAACUGUGUACCUCAAUCGGAUAUGAUGGACACAGACGCACCAUGUAAACAAACUAUUUCUGCAAUGAACAUCUUGGCAUAAUCCUCUCCCGAAUAGUUAGUCCUGACACUCAGAAAAUGGCUAACUUGGUCAGUCUAUCUACAAUCACCCAAAUAAAAUCGUACUGGUUUUGGGACUUCGGGAGCCCUGAAAUGAAGUCCAUAUUAAUCAUCUCCCACUUCCACAAGGGCAAAUCUAUCUCUUGGGAAGAACUACCUAGACUCAUGUGUUCUACUUUAAUUUGUUGAUAAUUCAAACACUUGGAAACAAAGUUAGCCACAUCACGCUUCAUAUUAUUCCACCAAUACAAAAAUUUCAGAUCCUUGUACAUCUUAGUAGAGCCUGGGUGAACAACAUACCUCGAUGUGUGAGCCUCAUCAAGAAUUCUAUUUCGCAAAUCAUCCAUAUCUGGUACACAUAAUCUACCCUGGUAUCUCAAAAUACCAUCACCACCAAUCUCAAAUGACAUCACUUUCUGCUGACCCACAUCAUUCUUAAUUUGCAUCAAGAUGAAAUCUUCAACCUGCUGCAUUUUAACUUCCGCACAAAGGGGAUACGUAACUAUCUCAUGAACAACCAUUCCCUCAUCUUCGGUAUCCAAGAAUCACACUUCUAGAUUUGCAAGCCGGUGAAUAUCUUUUACCAUCUCUCUCUUCCCUUCCUCAACAUGAGAAAGACUGUCCAUAGACAAUCUGCUGAGGGCGUCGGCUACCAUAUUUGCCUUACCCGGAUGAUAGUGAAGGCUCAUGUCAUAGUCUUUCAAAAUGUCAAUCCAACAUCUUUUCCUAAGAUUUAGUUCUUUCUGCGAAAAAACAUACUGUAAACUCUUAUGGUCAGCAAAAAUAUCAAUAUGCACCCCAUAAGGAUAAUGCCACCAAAUUCUAAGUGCAAACACCACAGCUGCUAAUUCAAAAUCAUGAGUGGGGUAGUUCCGCUCAUGCAACUUAAAUUUCCUAGAUGCAUAACCCACCACCUUUCCAUGCUACAUAAGUACACACCCAAGUCCCACACGAGAUGCAUCACAGUACACAACAAAACCCUCUGUACCUUCUGGAAGAGUCAAAACAGGAGUCGUCAUCAACUUGUCUUUCAACUUCUUCAAACUAUUCUCACAAGAGUCUGACCAUAAAAACUUUAGCUUUUUCUGAGUGAACUUAGUAAGUGGAGCAGCUAUAGAAGAGAAACUCUCUACAAACCUUCGGUAAUUCCCUGCCAAACCUAAGAAACUCCAAAUGUCGGUUGGAGUCGUGGGUAUGGGCUAUUUCUUUACUGCCUCAAUCUUUUGGGGAUCAAGAUUAAUCCCUUCACUAGACACAAUGUGCCCCAAGAAAGCAAUAGCAUUCAUCCAAAAUUCACACUUGGAGAAUUUCGCAUACAACUUAUGAUCUUUAAGGGUUUGAAGAACAGUGUGGAGAUGAUUUGCAUGGUCCUCCUCACUUUUAGAGUAAACCAAGAUGUCAAUAAUAGAAACUAUAACAAACAGGUGUAGGAACUGACGGAAGACGCUAUUAAUUAGGUCCAUGAAAGUUGCACGGGCAUUGGUCAACCCAAAGGACAUGACUAAGAAUUCAUAAUCACCAUAUCUGGUUUAGAAAGAUGUUUUAGGAAUUUCUGACUCCCUAACUUUCAACUGAUGAUAUCUCGAACAAAGGUCUAUUUUUAAAAAACACUUAGCACCCUGAAGCUGAUAAAAAAGGUCAUCAAUUCUAGGAAGAGAAUAUUUAUUUUUCACUGUCACCUUAUUCAACUGGCGGUAAUAUAUGCACAUACGCAGGGAACUAUCUUUCUUUCGCAUGAAGAGUACAGGUGCACCCCAAAGAGAAACACUAGGUCUGAUAAAACCCUUAUCUAGGAGAUCUGCUAGCUGUUCUUUCAACUCUUUUAACUCUGCAGGAGCCAUUCUAUAUGGCAGAAUAGAAAUAGGAUGGGUAUCUGGCAAUGCAUCAAUGCGAAAAUAUAUCCCCUUAUCGGGUGAAAUUUCUGGGAGAUCAUCUAGAAAAACUUCUAGGAAUUUAUUUACUACUGGGAUAGACUGAAGGGGGAGACUUUCGGCAUUAGAAUCUUUAACUUGAAUAAGAUGGUACAAGCAACCCUUGCAAAUAAGUUUACGAGCUUUGAGAUAAGAUAUGAAGUGCCCUCUAUGUUCUAAGGAAUACCCCUCCCACUCUAUUGCUGGCUCAUUCGGAAAAGAAAAGGUAACCUUUUGGAUCCUAUAGUCUAGUGUGUCAUAACACUGAUGGAGCCAGUCCAUCCCUAGGAUAGCAUCAAAAGCAACCAUAUCAAGUUCUAUGAGGUCUGCUACAGUAUCCCUACUAAUAAUAUACACAACACAUGUUUUGUACACUCUUCUUGCCACAAGCGAAUCUCCCACCGGAGUGGAAAUAGAGAAAGGUUCAGCAAUCACAUCGGGGUCAAACCCAAAACCAACAGCCACUUACGGGGUCACAUAAGAUAAGGUAGACCUGGGAUCAAGCAAUACAUAUACCUCACGGGAAAAGAUUUAUAACGUACCAGUGACUAUGUCUGGUGAGGCUUCCGCUUCCUGGAGAUUAGUUAGAGCAUACAGCCGGUUGUGACCACUCCCAGCAGUUGAAUUGGUGCCCUUUUGAGGUGGUGGUGGUGCAGAAGAGUUUUCCUGAGACAUAGCCCUACCAAUAUUCCUCCUAGCAGAGGGAAAUUCUCUCUUGAAAUGGUCCGCUGACCGCAUGAAUAACACACUGACAAGCCCAACUGACACCUUCCCGGAUGAUGCCUACUACAAGUGUCACAUCAUGGAUAAGAAUGGUACUGCUGAGUCACACUACCUUGCGACUGAGUAUCUUGAGCUCUGGGUCACUGGCUGGCCUGAAAACUCUGAGAUCGUCUAUCAACUGGAGGUCUGGGUGCUGGGGCGCUAGCUGCAAACUGCGCCUUGCCCCAAAACUUCUUCUUUUGCCAUUUGUUACCCCAAUUACCACCCUGAUGCUGACUGGAGUUCUGAUUCACUGAUCUGGCUCUCUUCGCCUGCCUGUCCUUCUCUCUAGACUCGGCUAUCUUCUACUUUUUCUCCUCAACCUGCUGCAUGUGGACUGUCAGCCUAGCAAAAUCCAAUUUCCUAUUUAGCAUUUCCCCUUGUCAUUCAAGCACCAGAUUAUCCAAAAGGCUGAAAGCAAACUUCCUCAUUUGGGCUCUCAUACUGCUCGUUAUCUCUGGAGUAUAACGGGCCAGCUGAUUAAACUUUAAAGUAUAUUCCUGAACACUCAUCUUACCCUUCUUAAUGUUCAUGAACUCCUCCACUUUGGCUUCCCUCAACUCUAGAGGAAAGAACUGGUCAAGAAAAGCUUCCACAAACUCGUCCCACACUGUGGGCUCAGCACUGUCACCCUUUGCCUUUUCCCACUCAUUAUACUAUUGGUUCGCUACAUCCUUGAGCUGGUAUACCGCUAGCUCAACACUUUCCACCUGAUCCACAUGCAUCACUCUAAAAAUCUUCUCUAUUUCAUCUAUGAAUUCUUACGGAUCCUCUUCUACCUUAGUGCCAGUAAACUUAGGUGGGUAUAUUCUCAUAAACUGAAAUACCCUAGUAGCUUCAGAUAUAACAGGUGCAGACCCAACAUCUUUUGAUCGUUGGGCCUGAUUAGCCACCAAAUGUGUCAGCACAUAAAUAGAUUGUCUUAAUUCUGCAUUUGAAAUAUCCCUCUGAGUAGUCGGGGGACGGUUAACAUUAGUCCGAGGAGCCCUAGGUGUUUUGGUUGGGACUGGACGGACUCCCGGAGUAGGGAAACGUUCUGCAGUGUAAGCUCUAUUAUGUGUCCUCAUCCCAUGAAUUGGACGGACUUCGUCCUCUUGAGAAUUAAUGUUGGUGCGAUAUGGAGGCAUAACUAGUUUUUCUUAAAAGCAAGAGAUCAUUGAUUAGGGGAUAGAUUACACUCUAAAUCACGAACUAAAUCGCAAAGAAGAUAAACAUUCCUAAACUCCUAGUAGCCUCCUGCUUAUAAAUAUGGGGCGCUACACACUCAUAAACAAGACUCUACCCAAUGCAAUAUCGCAGACAGCCUAGGACCAUGAACCGUGCUCUGAUACCAAGUUUAUCACGAUCCAAACUAGGGCCUGGCCGUGAUGGACAUCUAAAACCAUGAGGGCCCGGAACAUCCCUCUCUAUCUGGAAAGCAUGUACACAUUCAUAUAAAUAAAGAAGAUGUGGAAACAUAAUCUUCUACGGAAACAUGGUCAAUUCUGAAUUCAGCGUAAGUAUGAAAAUUGAAAAUCGACUACAUCUAAUAACAUCUGACUCAGUCUGGGAAAUCUUUACUAUAGGAAAAUCUGACAACUGUCUGAAAACUGGGACAAGGCCUCCAGUAGACCAAAAUGAUAAUAAGGGACAUAAUCUAAAAGAUGGGCCUUCUGGAAUAAAAAAGGCUCACCAACUAAUCACUACAACUCUGUCUGACGAAUCUACUGCCUUUCUGGACCUCUAGACUGAGCCUCAGAACCUGUAGGGAGGAUGGGGGUCAAUACAGAUGUACUGGUAUGCAAAGCAAUCCAAAAUAAAGCUUAUAUGUAAAUAAAAUAGUUUGGAAACAACUUUGUCAAAACAUUAUACAUCAAGUCGCUUUCGAAACACAUGGGCGCCUUUGUAAAAAAGAUGUAACCUGCCUGUCAAUGCAAGUUCUGAUUUGUAUAUUACUUCUGAGUUAGGUGGAACUCCCCUACAAUUCUGAUAUUCCACGGACGGUAUGGAAUCUGCCAUUUACUCGGUGGAGAAACCCCAACGCAAGUGUGUCGCAAGGGUUGGAGUUCCUGAAUCUGAUACGCCACAAAGCUCUAGGCCAGCGUAAUAAAUGAACCUGGAUCAGCAAAUCAUGAUUUUGGGUGAUGAGUUGUUUCAUACUCACACCUUUUUCGGGGAACCAUCUAAACUCUGUUUAUGCCCAAUUUUAUUCUGUUCUAAAUCAUGCAUGUUUCUAGUUUCAACAUCUGGAAAGUCUGAUUUGAAACAUGCAUUAAAUCUGUUCUCAAUUAUCAUGGCAUAAUCUGAAUUGGUGUUGUCACACCAAGACUUGCAAGUUCUAUUUCUGAGCCAUAAUGCAUCAUGCAUAAUUCUUUCAUUAAAACAUAGUUCAGACCACCCAAACAUGCAAACAAUAUAAAAGGUUUCAUGUUCCGAAAACACAAGUUAAAACUAUGCUGAGAUUGUUCAAACAUAUGGUGGUCAUGUGCUUUUGGCAAAAUCAUGCACUCUUUCAUUAUAUGAAUAUUUUCAACAUUUAUCAAUAUGCACAACCUUUUCUUUCGAAUUCAAAACCAUCAAUCCAUUUGUAGCAUUAAUCAAGAUAUUUCAUAUCAUGUUUUUCAAGAUACAUUCAAAACAAUCCAUAUCAUAAGAAAAUUGGGAAAAUCAUACCAAGAGAGGGUUUCAUGGCGUCAUGCUCUCAAUUCAUUCAUAAAUCAUAAAACAUAUGCAUACAUAUUUAUAAUUUUAAAUCAAUUUAGGGAAGGUCAAAAGACCAAAACAAUACCGUCAAGAUUUCUAAAAUAUGAAUGUAUUCAUAAAUCUGAAAACCCCUUUCUUAAAAUCAUGAUUUCUAUGCCCAUGAGAUUUUUAGGAAACCCCUGCAUACCUAAAAAUAGGAAAAAAGUGGGUGUUUCUUGAAGCCUAUGAUCCGGGGAUUUAGAAUCUUCAAUCGAUUUUGAAAACCAACGGUUGAAUCUUGAGUUUCUUGAAGUUCUUGUUUGAAGCUUUAGAGAGGAUUCUUGAUGAUUUUGAUGAAAGUAGGGUUAAGUUGCUCAAACAUACCCUAAAUCCUUUGUUUAGAUGGUUUUAAAGGAUAGAGAAAAUUCAAAAUUACCCUUAAUGACUCCUAAAAGGAACUGAAAAUUUGAACUUAAAAACCCGAUUUCGGGUGCCACCAUGACGCGCCACAAUCGCAGUGGUCCACUGGAAUUCGACGAGUGGGAAAUUGAGUGCCUACGCGAUGCGUCACCAUCGUAGAUCCCCGCUGGAAUUUUAUGAUUUCAAUUUGACCCUCUCCGCGACACGCUAAACAGAAAAAUGACGAUAUUUACGACUGGAACUUUAAAUUAUUCAUAACUUCUUCACCGAGGGUCCGUUUUGGACGAAUCUUAUAUCGUUGGAAAGCGAAUUUAGUCCUCUACAUAAUGAAAGAUUGAUAUCUAGGAAAUUUCACAUGAAAAUUAAUUUAGAUCAUUAUAAAAGCUUAUUCUUAGACUUUGCAUGGACAAAAUUUAGUUAAGAAGACGUCGGGGUGUUACAAACAAGCAUAUGAUACGACGGAAAUUGAGUUCCGCAGUAUGAAAGCCAAGACAAAUUUUCUGAUUUUGAUGGAAGAAAUGAAUCAGACUCCUUGUUAGGUCAGUACUCUAUAGUCAUCGAAUAUGGUGGUUGUGGUGGCGAUUCAACCAUCACUGGUGCCUUUGCCUCCAUCUUUACUGCCACCAUAUUCACCACAUUUGAUGACUCAACUAUAUUGAUCCAACCGUGACUCCGAUUCAUUUCGUCCAUCGGAAUUGGAAAAUUCAUCUUGACUUUCAUUUCCUCUGCCGUGUCAAACAUAUAUUGGAUCUUUUCCUUGGAUCUCUUUUCUGCCAUGUAUGUAAUUCCCCGACGGCCUUUUCCGUACUCCUCGAUAAUGCACCUCGGACGCAACUCCCUUCAUUUUCUCCACCACCUUUGCAACUCCUCCAUUCACUUUCACCACCCUCGCUGCCACCUUCGCAACUCCUCCAUUCACUUUCUUUGUCCUCAUCUCCGCCUUCGUACAAUUUUGCUUCUUCGACGCAAUUUUCACAACUGAUAACGAUGAGAGAGAACGUAGGGGGGAAGAGUUGCUUAAAUAGAAAAGUGGUUGGAGAAGCAAACAAAAGCAUAGUAAGGGAAGGUGAGUUUGACUUGACUCAUGUAAUUCGGAGCCACAUUUGACAUGACAUUUUUUUUUUCUGAAUGUCUGCAAGGGUAUUUGUCUGUAUUUUAUUUCCUAAUGCCACGUGCACAUUUCACAAAAAGGAAAAAAGAAAAGGUUAAUAAAUGAUAAAUGCUAUAUUUUCUUUUUUAUUUUUCAAAAUCCACUAGGCAAGGUGCCUAGGUUCUUUUUAUAAAUUUUUCCAAAUCAAAAGUCAUUACAAAUGUAGCCAAAGCUUUAAAAUAAAGUAAAAAAUAAGCUAAUGACCAAAAUUAGACUUAUACAAUGUCUUAAUCUAGUUCUACAAUAUGAGUGAAUAUAAAAAGCUAAACUUGCUAAAGAUGUACUAAAAAUUGCAAAACUAAUAUUUGAGUGAUGUAUUAUCCAUGAACUGAAUUUCCAUCUUGCCUUAGCUAACUUUAAUGUUCCUUGACAGUGUUGUUUUGAAGACACACGGCAUUGGUGCUUGUUGGAAGCUCCUUGGCAGUGUUGUUUUGAAGCCUCACGACAUUGACGCUUGUUGAUUUCUUCAGUCCCUUGCGGCUGUUUCUCCCAUGUUAGAAUCACAUCUUCUGUCAUCAUCUUUUGAUCUUCAAUGCAUUUAGCAAAACCACCUGGGCAGUGACAAGUAUAUUUGCUGAAAUAUGAACCAAGUAUAGACCAAAAUAGUCUACAAAAAUGUAUCCCAAGUUUGUAACUCUUUGUGCGCAAAUGUGUUGAUGCAUCUUGUCUUAUGUCAUUUGAAUAAGUCUUGAGCAGCUCCACUUGCAAGAUAAAAAUUCUCAUGUACCAAUUUAUCGAUUUUGUUUAUAUCAAAUCAU